GGCUUCACGGUUUCCGUUUUCCAAAGAGGAACGCAGAUUCAGCGAGCGGCUGCUGGCUUUUGACCUAUUUUGAUGUCAGGGCUUGGCACGUAGGAAUUGUUCAAUGCUGGUCGAUCCAAGGUCAUGCACAUAGGGUCUCAGACGCAGGAGAACUUCCUGUCCCUCUUGGAGCUUCUAUUUUAGAGGGAGACACGGCCAGGCAGGUCUCGAACUCCUGGCCUCAAGUGAUCCGCACACCUUGACCUCCCAAAAUGCUGGGAUUCCUGGCGUGAGCCACCGCGCCUGGCUUGUCCUAGGGAGAAUGAGCCUGAUGACUUUACUAUUUUCUACCUCUAAGAGCCAAGUCAGUCACAAACGAGGCUGGCUGGCAUCUUGUGUCUGUCUAGCAUCUCUGCCAGUUUCUGUAGAAAACCCUCGAGCUGUGCCAAACAGUCAUGUCUGUGGACACCGCUCGUGGUGUCAGGGGGUGUCUUCGCCUAAUGCCUAUCACCCUUUGCAGCCACUGGAAGAAUGAUGCAGGAGCCAGGGCCCCAUAUUAUCUACCACUGUCCAUCUGCUCUCCAGCACAUCAGAGCAGCCCUUCCUCUCCAGGGCAAGACUGAAAAGAGCAUCAAGGUUGAAGUGGAAGAAAUACAUUGGAAGUGGAGCAGG
This is a long non-coding RNA of Mandrillus leucophaeus (drill), 651 nucleotides long. RefSeq lists it as uncharacterized. The transcript is spliced from 4 exons. Lineage: Eukaryota; Metazoa; Chordata; Mammalia; Primates; Cercopithecidae. The record is from RefSeq and is a predicted model, not a curated record.